RNAcentral lists this ribosomal RNA (440 nucleotides) under uncultured bacterium. RNAcentral's name for it is "partial 16S ribosomal RNA". It matches the Rfam family "Bacterial small subunit ribosomal RNA", at positions 338 to 795 of the family's 1533-position model. The record is from RNAcentral.
CCUACGUGAGGCAGCAGUGGGGAAUAUUGCACAAUGGGGGAAACCCUGAUGCAGCAACGCCGCGUGAGUGAAGAAGUAUUUCGGUAUGUAAAGCUCUAUCAGCAGGGAAGAAGAUGACGGUACCUGAGUAAGAAGCCCCGACUAACUAGCUGCCAGCAGCCGCGGUAAUACGUAGGGGGCAAGCGUUAUCCGGAUUUGCUGGGCGGAAAGGGAGCGUAGACGGUGAGGCAAGUCUGACGUGAAAGCCCGGGGCUCAACCCCGGGACUGCUUUGGAAACUGGCUGACUGGAGUGCUGGAGAGGCAAGCGGAAUUCCUAGUGUAGCGGUGAAAUGCGUAGAUAUCAGGAAGAACACCAGUGGCGAAGGCGGCUUGCUGGACAGUAACUGACGUUGAGGUGCGAAAGCGUGGGGAGCAAACAGGAUUAGAUACCCCUGUAGUC